Molecule: ribosomal RNA, 433 nt
Filed under: uncultured bacterium
Lineage: Bacteria
Description: partial 16S ribosomal RNA
Rfam family: Bacterial small subunit ribosomal RNA
Source: RNAcentral
AACGAACGCUGGCGGCAUGCCUAACACAUGCAAGUCGAACGAUGCCUCCGGGCAUAGUGGCGCACGGGUGCGUAACGCGUGGGAAUCUGCCCUUGGGUUCGGAAUAACUCGCCGAAAGGCGAGCUAAUACCGGAUGAUGACGUAAGUCCAAAGAUUUAUCGCCCAAGGAUGAGCCCGCGUAGGAUUAGCUAGUUGGUGGGGUAAAGGCCCACCAAGGCGACGAUCCUUAGCUGGUCUGAGAGGAUGAUCAGCCACACUGGGACUGAGACACGGCCCAGACUCCUACGGGAGGCAGCAGUGGGGAAUAAUGGACAAUGGGCGAAAGCCUGAUCCAGCAAUGCCGCGUGAGUGAUGAAGGCCUUAGGGUUGUAAAGCUCUUUUACCCGGGAUGAUAAUGACAGUACCGGGAGAAUAAGCUCCGGCUAACUCCGUG